CGAGUACCAGCGAAACGUAGCUUUCUUAUUACAUCAUCAUAUACACGUAAAAACGGGCCUAAUAGGCCAACAUAAUUGUUUAUAAAGUAAAACAUAGGCCGACAAGGCCGUACAAUCUAUUACAUAUACGGCAUAUGUCUACAAGCCUCUAAGAAUACAUAAAUGACAUAAAGGUCGAGACAGUGUCCCGCCACACAAAACAAUACACGUCUAAAUCAUACUAACCAAACGAGCAACUCCGAAGCAAAUGGAGCGCACCAACGUCUUCCGCUGAACUGAUAGCCUACUUGGAGGGCUCUCGACCUGUCUAUCAGGACCUGCGGGCAUGAAACACAGCGUCCCCAGGCAAAAGGAACAUCAGUACGAGCAAUGUACUGAGUAUGUAAGGCACAUAAAUAAGUACAUAGGAGACAUGAAAGAAAUAUAGAGUACAUGACUCAACCUGUUAUUUUGAAUAACUAUAUGUUGAGCUGAUAGCGUGCUUUGGAUGGCUAUCGACCUGUCUAUCGGGACUUGCGGGCAUGAAACGCAACGUCCCUAGGCAAAAGGGAUGUUAGUACGAAUAACGUAUCAAGUAUGUAAGAUAUAUUAACAAAUAUAUAAGAGACAUGGAAGACAUAUAGAGUACAUGACUCAACCUGUAAGUUUGAAUAACUAUGUAAAUCAUAAAUUACUCUUAACAUCAUGCAUAUGCGUAUGAAUUUCAUGUCGUGCAUAGGUACAUGUUUCAUAAUAUCAUCAGCCUCUGAGGACAUCUCAUCAUAUCAUAUCGGCCACUGUGGGCAAAUCAUCAUUGUAUAACAGCUGAUGAGGUGGUAGUAUGUAUAUAAUGCUAAAACCUUUUCCAUAUCUCAUAUACAUAUAUAAACAUACAUAUAUACAUGUAUAUAGCUUCAUUUGAAUCAUAUUUAUAUAUAUAUAUAUACGUGUAUAUAACGCCGUUUGAAUCAUAUUUUAGCCACUGAGGAGAAACAUCAUCAUCAUCAUCAUCAUCAUAUACUGAUGAUCGGGUGGUGGUGCGUAUAUAACGCCGUAAAAUUUUUCCAUAUCCCAUAUACAUAUAUACGCGUAUAUAACACCAUCUGAAUCAUGAGUCAAUGUACAUGUAUAAAUGCAUGGAAUGCAUAUGAAAUAUGACAAUAGAAUCUCUCGGUACGUCAUAAGACCAUUAUACCUCUGAUAAUAUCAUAAAGUCAUUUUAUGUAUUUUUUGAGACACAUGAAAAUACAUAUGGAGAUUCAAGAAUAUAGGCACUUUUAAUACUUUUAUAUAUAAAGUUAUUUAUGGAAGUUGUGCCUUUUCUCGUUUUGCUUGUAUCCUAUAGAUCAUGUCAAAAAGAAAGAAAUGAUAGCCUUAACGUACCUUGAGUAUGAAAAUUACCGUUUAACUGCAGAUAUUAAAGACAUUAUUAUUUGGUAAUUGAAUAAAAGAACCACUUCGCGCUAGGCAAGUAAACACUAAGAAUCCCAGAACUCCUUUGAAACUGAUAUCUAAGGACGUUUGCAUUUGUAUCCACCGUUCUUCAGUAGGCUUGAGUAAAGCAUAAUCCUUGCCCGUGACAUCCACUUGAUCACCAUUUACACCUUUGUAGUAGCAUGAAUUUGAAAUUGUUGCACGUUGAAUAAAGGAAGUAGUGGGCAAAACAUUCUUGUUUUCUUUAUGAAAUUUAGUUUCUCAUUUUCCAAUCUUUAAGAAAGGAAUCCUUUACGUUACUUGUUAUGGAACCUUAAAGAAA
This 1735-nucleotide long non-coding RNA is filed under the name Nicotiana benthamiana. RNAcentral's name for it is "long non-coding RNA (NBEN_LNC020695)". Lineage: Eukaryota; Viridiplantae; Streptophyta; Magnoliopsida; Solanales; Solanaceae. The record is from RNAcentral.